This 252-nucleotide ribosomal RNA is filed under the name uncultured bacterium. Its description in RNAcentral is "partial 16S ribosomal RNA". It matches the Rfam family "Bacterial small subunit ribosomal RNA", at positions 524 to 776 of the family's 1533-position model. The record is from RNAcentral.
UACGUAGGGUGCAAGCGUUGUCCGGAAUUAUUGGGCGUAAAGAGCUCGUAGGCGGUUUGUCGCGUCGGGAGUGAAAUCCACUGGCUUAACUGGUGGCUUGCUUUCGAUACGGGCAGACUGGAGGUAUGCAGGGGAGAACGGAAUUCCUGGUGUAGCGGUGAAGUGCGCAGAUAUCAGGAGGAACACCGGUGGCGAAGGCGGGUCUCUGGGCCGAUACUGACGCUGAGGAGCGAAAGCGUGGGAGCGAACAGG